Molecule: long non-coding RNA, 872 nt
Filed under: Salmo salar (Atlantic salmon)
Lineage: Eukaryota; Metazoa; Chordata; Actinopteri; Salmoniformes; Salmonidae
Description: lncRNA (ENSSSAG00000100181.1)
Source: RNAcentral
GCCAAAGAAAGGCAAAAAUGUGGUACUCAUGAGACGCUGCAUAGGGAUGGGAGAAUCUGUAGCCAGGAACAUAAUGGAUUACAAUGCCACAAAAGGAGGGGUGGACAAUUUAGACAAGCUGGUGACUGGCUACAGCUGCAAAAGAAGAACCCUACGCUGGCCACUUGUGAUAUUCUUCAACAUCUUGGUGUACAACGCGUUUGUCAUCUGGAUGGCGUUGAACCCAGAUUGGAACAGAGGGAAGCUCCAGAGGAGACGGAUCUUUCUCGAGGAGCUGGGCAAGGCAUUGGUACCUGGGCUGAAGUCCCCCCAAAGGACCAGUAUGGGGCGGCAGGUAGCCUAGUGGUUAGAGCUUUGGACUAGUAACCGGAAGGUUGCAAGAUUGAAUCCCCGAGCUGACAAGGAGGUAUCCUAUCUGCCAAAACAUGGCCAUCCCCUAAAGAAGAACAGCUACUGCAGGUAGUUGUUCCAGAAGUUGACAACCCAGUGAACGCUAUACCAGAUAGACCAAAACCACAGAAACCCUUGGAUCUGAGGUGACAUCUAUCUACGUUAGUGCAGGGAGACCAGGAGCGGCAGUGGAAGUCCACCACCCAGUGGACAAAGUGAGCACUUCAUCAAAAUAGAAGACUGAAUCACAGUCCCCCCCAGCAACCAGCGGUACAAGAGUGCCAUCCAAUGGAACUCAAUUUGUUUGUAUGUUCAUUAGCACAGAAUACAUGAACCCAAUUUUUGCUUCAAGACGCUGGCAAUUUGAAAAAGUAGAUUGUGCUGAUUUAUUGGCACAUUGAACCAUGUAUAAUUUUGUUUAUACAUAUAUAUUUUACAGAGCUGCUACUCACUGUUUAUUAUCUAUGCAUAGUCGCUUUACC